CCCCCACACCAUUAAACCACCAGCAGCAGCCUGAACCAUUGAUACACGGCAGGAUGCAUCCAUGCUUUCAUGUUGUUGAGGCCAAAUUCUGACGCUACCAUCCAAGUAUCGCAGCAAAAAUUGAGACUCAUCUGACUAGGCAACGUUUCUCUAAAUCUUCUAUUGUGCAAUUUUGGUGAGCCUGUGUGAAUUGUAGCCUCAGUUUCCUGCUCUUAGCCGCAGAAGUGGCACCCGGUGUGGUCUUCUGCUGCUGUAGCCCAUCUGCCUCAAGCUGGAACCAGCCUGGCCAUUUUCCGCUGACCUCGGGCAUCAACAAGGCAUUUGCGUCCACAGAACUGCUGUUAAUGAGCAAUUAAACAGGUGUACCUAAUAAAGUGCCGAAGAAACCACCUCCACCAAAAACAGUGACGAGGACACCACAAUUGUAGAGAAACGUACAACAGCUUUCACGGAGACCACCGUCAUCCAACGUGCUGGCACUGUGGAAUAUCACACCAGGCUUCUUAACCCCUUCAGGUCUAGAAAUGACAGCCCUCCAGAGAAUAAAACAGAUGAUGAAGAACUCAAAUAGACUUUUUUCCAGACAAAAUGUUUGGAUAAAUUAAUGUUUUGGGACAAUAAUCUCAUCCUUGGUUUCAACUAAGAGAAAUGAAGCUCUCGGGCAACAAAAUUGCAUCUUGAUGGUCAUCUUUUGAGUAAAGCGUCUGUUAAGAUAACUGGCAAAUUAAAUAUCAAGUUGCCUUA
Danio rerio (zebrafish) is the source of this 744-nucleotide non-coding RNA. The record is from RefSeq and is a predicted model, not a curated record. Lineage: Eukaryota; Metazoa; Chordata; Actinopteri; Cypriniformes; Danionidae.